RNAcentral lists this ribosomal RNA (503 nucleotides) under uncultured bacterium. RNAcentral's name for it is "SSU rRNA". It matches the Rfam family "Bacterial small subunit ribosomal RNA", at positions 26 to 517 of the family's 1533-position model. The record is from RNAcentral.
AGGGCGAACGCUGGCGGCGUGCCUAACACAUGCAAGUGGAGCGACGAACCAGGCUUCGGCCUGGGGCAGAGCCGCGAACGGGUGAGUAACACGUGGGUAACCUGCCCUGAUGAUUGGGACAACCCGAGGAAACUCGGGCUAAUACCAAAUGUGCCCUCCGGCCUCAAGGCCUGUGGGGAAAGGAAGCUUCGGCCUCCGCAUCGGGAUGGGCCCGCGGCCCAUUAGCUUGUUGGUGAGGUAAUGGCUCACCAAGGCUACGAUGGGUAGCUGGUCUGAGAGGACGAUCAGCCACACUGGGACUGAGACACGGCCCAGACUCCUACGGGAGGCAGCAGUGGGGAAUCUUGCGCAAUGCGCGAAAGCGUGACGCAGCAACGCCGCGUGGGGGAAGAAGGCCUUCGGGUUGUAAACCCUUUCAGUUGGGACGAAGCUUCGCCGGUGAACAGCCGGCUGGAGUGACGGUACCUUCAGAAGAAGCCCGGCUAACUACGCGCCAGCAGCCG